This 480-nucleotide unclassified non-coding RNA is filed under the name uncultured Glomus. RNAcentral's name for it is "SSU rRNA". It matches the Rfam family "Eukaryotic small subunit ribosomal RNA", at positions 569 to 1054 of the family's 1831-position model. The record is from RNAcentral. Lineage: Eukaryota; Fungi; Glomeromycota; Glomeromycetes; Glomerales; Glomeraceae.
AGCAGCCGCGGUAAUUCCAGCUCCAAUAGCGUAUAUUAAAGUUGUUGCAGUUAAAAAGCUCGUAGUUGAAUUUCGGGAUCAAUAUGCUUGUCGUGCCUCGGUACGUACUAGCUUAUUGGUUUCUCCUUUCUGAAGAACCAUGAUGUCAUUCAUUUGGUGUCGUGGGGAAUCAGGACUGUUACUUUGAAAAAAUUAGAGUGUUUAAAGCAGGCUCACGCUUGAAUACAUUAGCAUGGAAUAAUGAAAUAGGACGUUUGGUUCUAUUUUGUUGGUUUCUAGGAUCGACGUAAUGAUUAAUAGGGAUAGUUGGGGGGCAUUAGUAUUCAAUUGUCAGAGGUGAAAUUCUUGGAUUUAUUGAAGACUAACUACUGCGAAAGCAUUUGCCAAGGAUGUUUUCAUUAAUCAAGAACGAAAGUUAGGGGAUCGAAGACGAUCAGAUACCGUCGUAGUCUUAACCAUAAACUAUGCCGACUAGGGAUC